AUUGAACGCUGGCGGCAUGCUUUACACAUGCAAGUCGAACGGCAGCGCGGGUUUCGGCCUGGCGGCGAGUGGCGAACGGGUGAGUAAUACAUCGGAACGUGCCCAGUAGUGGGGGAUAGCUCGGCGAAAGCCGGAUUAAUACCGCAUACGACCUGAGGGUGAAAGCGGGGGAUCUUCGGACCUCGCGCUAUUGGAGCGGCCGAUGGCAGAUUAGACUAGUUGGUGGGGUAAAGGCCUACCAAGGCGACGAUCUGUAGGUGGUCUGAGAGGACGACCAUCCACACUGGGACUGAGACACGGCCCAGACUCCUACGGGAGGCAGCAAGUGGGGAAUUUUGGACAAUUGGGCGAAAGCCAUGACUCCAGC
This 367-nucleotide ribosomal RNA is filed under the name Lautropia mirabilis. RNAcentral describes it as "bacterial SSU rRNA". It matches the Rfam family "Bacterial small subunit ribosomal RNA", at positions 30 to 392 of the family's 1533-position model. The record is from RNAcentral. Lineage: Bacteria; Pseudomonadati; Pseudomonadota; Betaproteobacteria; Burkholderiales; Burkholderiaceae.